Molecule: long non-coding RNA, 203 nt
Organism: Vicia villosa (hairy vetch)
Lineage: Eukaryota; Viridiplantae; Streptophyta; Magnoliopsida; Fabales; Fabaceae
Exons: 3
Source: RefSeq, a predicted model, not a curated record
UGAAACAGGAUUGGUGGAACAUAAAUUGAUGUGCGCAGCAAAUCAAGGACCAUAUCAAAGCCUGUUUCGCAUCCCUCUGAGCUUCCUAAGUGGAAUUAUGAUAGAUCUAGCACUGGACAAGCCCUUGGUGAAGAUAGUGAAGUGAUCCUAUAUCCUCAAGCAAUUUUCAAAGAUUAUUUUUGUGGCGGAAACAAUAUAAUGGU